ACCCUACCAAACUAGCCUUAUUACACACUGAACAAACAAGUUGGUUCAUCAAAUAAACAGUACAGUCAAAAGCACACAGAAUUAAGUUCACCUCGAUGAUACGGAGGGUACAUGAAUUGAAGAUGCGGAAGAUCGAAAGCUUGCAACCGGGGCUCGGAAGAUGGAGAUUUGCAUGAUAGAGUUGAUGCCGCCGAGGAAAUCACCUCCUGCUAGCUGAAAUCAAAGGCAGAGACAAAAAAUCACAUACGGUGUAUAUUGCAUAAAGAAGAUGGUGAAGUAAACAGAAAGUGGAGAGCUGAAGAAGAUGAUGAAGGACUAAUGCGAGUGCUAGUUACUACCCAACACAUGCGUGAUGUAGAAAACAACUGGAUGCAAUUAGUACCUUGAGGACACAGGAUUUUGUUC
RNAcentral lists this long non-coding RNA (405 nucleotides) under Triticum aestivum (bread wheat). Its description in RNAcentral is "long non-coding RNA (TAES_LNC021595)". The record is from RNAcentral. Lineage: Eukaryota; Viridiplantae; Streptophyta; Magnoliopsida; Poales; Poaceae.